Molecule: ribosomal RNA, 497 nt
Filed under: uncultured bacterium
Lineage: Bacteria
Description: partial 16S ribosomal RNA
Rfam family: Bacterial small subunit ribosomal RNA
Source: RNAcentral
GAUGAACGCUGGCGGCGUGCCUAAUACAUGCAAGUCGAGCGAACAGACGAGGAGCUUGCUCCUCUGACGUUAGCGGCGGACGGGUGAGUAACACGUGGAUAACCUACCUAUAAGACUGGGAUAACUUCGGGAAACCGGAGCUAAUACCGGAUAAUAUAUUGAACCGCAUGGUUCAAUAGUGAAAGACGGUUUUGCUGUCACUUAUAGAUGGAUACGCGCCGCUUUAGCUAGUUGUUACGGUCACGGCUUAUCAAGGCAACGAUGCGUAGCCGACCGGAGAGGGGGGUCGGCCACACUGGAACGUGACCACGGUCCCAGCUACUGAGGGAGGGAGCAGUAGGGAACCUUCCGCAAUGGGGGGAAACCUUGCGGAACAACGGCGCGUGAGUUGAGGAAGGCUUCCGAGCGGGAAAACCUGUUAUGAGGGGAAAACAAAUUUGGAAGGUAACGAAGACUGCGUGACGGUAACUGAUCAAGAAGCCCCGGCUAACUACGUG